GUUAAAAGACCAGGCAGCUUCUCUCUAGUCCACUGAUCUUUUUAAUCACUUUUUGCCCAGGAUUAUGACUGCAAGAGGAAGGGAGAGGAACAUCCUGAGCAUAAAGCCUGCAGCAGGAUGGUUGGGAUUGCAAGUGAGACCUGUACACAAUUUACUAAUUUGGCUAAAGUGGAAGUCUUCUGCUUCCCAGUCACACAAUGACUUAUCCCUGUGUUACACAGGCCUGAGUACAACGUACAGCUGCAGUGCAGGAGAGGACUCCAGGCUAGAAGUUCCAACCUGAUGCUAAUCAUAAAAUCCUCGAGGAUAGAAGACCUUUAAGAUCAAGGCAAGCCAUAAGCCUAGCACUGCCAAGUCCACCAUAAACCUUGUCCCUGAGUGCCACAUCUACAACACGUUUUUCCAAUAUCUUCAGGGCUGGUGACUCAACCACUUCCCUGGGCAGACUGUUCUAGGGCUUGACAAACCUUUUAGUGAAGCAAUUUUUCCUAAUAUCCAAUCUAAAUGUCCCCUGGCGUGACUUGAAGCUAAUUUAACUGUGACUCAGGUGUGGCCAUACGAGCAGUGGGCUCUCAGGUGGGUACCUCUCUGAGGUGUCUCUCAGCAAGCCCUGGAGCAUCCUUGCUCCCAGCUCUGCCUGUUACAAAUCCAGUGGAGGUGGCACUCAGCAGCCAGGCACCAGGAAGGCAGACACUGCAAUGGCUGCUGCCACAAAACCUGGAUCCCUUAAUGCAUCUAACCCACGGCUCUCUGACUCACAGGGCAGAUAAUAGUGUAGAAGGGAUGCUAAAAACCAACAAGUUACUUAGGCAAUGCAGUAGCAGAAGGAAGGUGAGCAUGGCACACCUCUCUACAACUGCAUUUUGCUUUUCAUUCUUCACAACGGGACACGUACGGUGGGAUGGAAAUUUUCCCCGUUUCCAGGAUGCCACUUUUUCCAAUGCAAAUUUUUGUUGUUUUCCUCCUCAAAACUCUUCUCUCGUUCCAUGUCUUCUGGGUGCUCUGUGGACCAUGCAGAUCUGGCUGUGAGAUGUCCAUGCUCCCCUCCCUUCUGCUGGUGGGGAAGGAAUGUAGGCUGCUCCUCCCCAGAGGAGUGGGGCUGGUAGGGUGGAUGUGGCCCAACAAACCUUGUGCUCAGUCCCUGCAUUUUUGAAGCAGAGGUUAUGAAUGUUGGCCUUUUGUGUGUUUUCUGGAAAUGGCUGCUGUGAGAUUCCCAGUUCAUCACAGCAGAAGCAGGUCACAGCAUAGACUUGGUGUACUCUUGCUUUUGCACAGCAUGAGCUCCUGCACGAUGAACCUCAUUUCUGCAAACCUCAAUAAAUGUUUGGUUGUUGGCUUUGAAAUGUAAUUAAUUUUGUAAUGACAAUAAUUCUAUAACUUUAUUCCAUAAUAUGUUAUAGAAGUUUGACCACUAACUAGCUGUUUGAAUACAGCUUUAAUGGCUGAGCUGUUGUUGAAAUUAUAGUUUCACCUUUAGUGAUAAAGGACCUCUGGAUCUGCCAGCCUGAGUAAUUUAAUGUGCUUUUUUGGCCUACAGCUGUUAAUAGAUUUCAAAAUCACCAUUUUGAUAAAAUGUCUCAAGGAAGAUUUUUUUUUUAUUGCAGAUUCAUUUUUCACAUUUUGUUUUUCUCUGGUAAUUAUAGCAAAUCUAGCUGGUUUCAAUUUAAUUAAAAUAUCUUAACUUGGCAGGGUAACAUACUCAUAAAGUAUAGGAGUUUUCAAAUAUAAAAAAAUGCAAAUGUUUAUUGUGAAAAAAAAUCUUAUUUAUUUUAUGUGAAAUGACAGGCUUUUCUCAGAUAUUUAGCCUAAGUUUUAAAUCACUAAGGGCUAACUAUAUUGCAUAAUCAAACAAAUCCUAGAAGGUUCCAAUUGUUUUACUGGAACUUGAAAUGUAUUUCAUGCUUUCUAAAACGUUUUCUCAAUAUAUUGUUUCUUCUUCUAAAAUUAUAGUUGGGACUAGAGAGCAGUGAACCCAUAUUAAAUCUGAGUUGAACUAUAUUCUUCAGAGAUGCACUACAUUAUUUUUAAAUGAUGAAUUCAUGGAAACACUAUAAUCUCACCAGAACUACUGGAUCAUGUUGUUCUAGGGCUUUCUGUGUUUUCUGAAGUCACUGCCUCUCAGUCUAAGUGCAUCACUCUUUUAGUUGAUCUCCAUAUGAAAACUGUCCAUAUUUUUAGAGUUACAGCCAUAAACACCCUGACAUAGAAGGAUAUACUCUGCUUGCUUCAGAAAAAUUAUCUCCUUUUCUGAAUAUUUUGCCAGAACCUCCUGCAAAGAGUGAACACAGAGUCAUCAGAAACUCCAUCAAAUGAUGAUGUCUUUGCCCUCCCAAUGGGUGAUGUGCUGGGAGUGAGAGAAGAUUUUCAGAAGGUUUCAUGCUAUGUCAGUGUCUGAAAGUUCAGGUUCGCAAAAGCAUUUCUCAUUUGUCUAGAAAUCUCAGACAAUCUCUUUGUUUUAUCUGCUACAUGAUCUCCAGCCCUGCUGAAACAUCCUGAACAUAAGUGACACUCCAGCUGGGACACUGCAUCUGCAUGCAAAUAUCAAAUAUCUUCUUAGGAUGAGUUGUGAAAAACUGUCCAGAAAAAACAGUAGACUGGCACUGCUGGAAACAUGAAAUGUGAAAGGCUGCCAGCAGAGUCAGCUCGGGUUUGUGACAAUGAUCCUUUUAGAACUUGCAUCAUGUCAGUGUCCCAGAAGACUCCCUCCUGCCCACAGAACGAGUGAAUAUUUUAGUUUGCCUGCCUGGCAUCAAAACUGUGAGAAGAGUGACCUGACAUUCCUGCUCCUUGUUUGUGUUUGAGGAUGAUGCAGCUGAAGCAGGCGGGCAUUGCAGCUCCCAUCUAUCACAUGGCAAGUACCAUCUUCACAAGUCUUAUUUGGGCAGA
This is a long non-coding RNA of Passer domesticus (house sparrow), 2886 nucleotides long. RefSeq lists it as uncharacterized. The record is from RefSeq and is a predicted model, not a curated record. NCBI's taxonomy places the organism in Eukaryota, Metazoa, Chordata, Aves, Passeriformes, Passeridae. The transcript is spliced from 4 exons.